This 456-nucleotide ribosomal RNA is filed under the name uncultured Sphingobacteriales bacterium. RNAcentral's name for it is "bacterial SSU rRNA". It matches the Rfam family "Bacterial small subunit ribosomal RNA", at positions 925 to 1382 of the family's 1533-position model. The record is from RNAcentral. Lineage: Bacteria; Pseudomonadati; Bacteroidota; Sphingobacteriia; Sphingobacteriales.
ACAAGCGGAGGAGCAUGUGGUUUAAUUCGAUGAUACGCGAGGAACUUACCUGGGCUCGAACGUAAGAUGACUGUAGGUGAAAGCUUACAUCUCUUCGAAGCAUUUUACGAGGUGCUGCAUGGUUGUCGUCAGCUCGUGCCGUGAGGUGUCGGGUUAAGUCCCAUAACGAGCGCAACCCCUACCUUUAGUUGCCAUCAGGUAAUGCUGGGGACUCUAAAGGAACUGCCUACGCAAGUAGUGAGGAAGGCGGGGAUGACGUCAAAUCAGCACGGCCCUUACGUCCAGGGCUACACACGUGCUACAAUGGCCGAUACAGAGGGCAGCUACCUGGUGACAGGAUGCAAAUCUCCAAAGUCGGUCUCAGUUCGGAUCGGAGUCUGCAACCCGACUCCGUGAAGUUGGAUUCGCUAGUAAUCGCGCAUCAGCCAUGGCGCGGUGAAUACGUUCCCGGGCCUU